Molecule: ribosomal RNA, 472 nt
Filed under: uncultured bacterium
Lineage: Bacteria
Description: bacterial SSU rRNA
Rfam family: Bacterial small subunit ribosomal RNA
Source: RNAcentral
UGGGGAAUAUUGGACAAUGGGCGAAAGCCUGAUCCAGCCAUGCCGCGUGUGUGAAGAAGGUCUUCGGAUUGUAAAGCACUUUAAGUUGGGAGGAAGGGCAGUAAAUUAAUACUUUGCUGUUUUGACGUUACCGACAGAAUAAGCACCGGCUAACUCUGUGCCAGCAGCCGCGGUAAUACAGAGGGUGCAAACGUUAAUCGGAAUUACUGGGCGUAAAGCGCGCGUAGGUGGUUCGUUAAGUUGGAUGUGAAAUCCCCGGGCUCAACCUGGGAACUGCAUUCAAAACUGACGAGCUAGAGUAUGGUAGAGGGUGGUGGAAUUUCCUGUGUAGCGGUGAAAUGCGUAGAUAUAGGAAGGAACACCAGUGGCGAAGGCGACCACCUGGACUGAUACUGACACUGAGGUGCGAAAGCGUGGGGAGCAAACAGGAUUAGAUACCCCCGUAGUCCCUGAGCGGGCUGGCAAGGCGCAU